AUGACGGGACAUGGACCAGUAACGUCUGGCGGCCUUUUGACCUGUGAGAGUCCCCAUGACGAGCACCCCUUCUCAAGGCCCCACACGGAUCAGUACAGGAAGAGCACAGCACUGCACCCCUCACCCUGAAGGCCAACUGUAUGCACCAAGGACAGGAUCCUGCACCGCGUCAAGGGAACAGCGUGAGGAGGGCUCAGGACACUUACCAGAGAGGGGUAAUCCCACCUGGGAAUUUCCCUGCAGGCACUGUCUUUAUGCUCACAGAGAGGGUCCACACACACUUCGCCAGGAGGCAAACCUGCACUCCAGUGUCCCUGUCACUCAUCAGGUAACUUGGCCACGCAAAACCUUUUCCUCGCUCUCUGCCUCAUUUCCCCUUGCGUGGCUGCAAGGGAAACAUUGUCACCAGUGAUGGCUGGCUGACACUUCGACCUGCAGUAAUGCCAUGGAGCCAGCCAGUGGGAAGAGUCUGCAUGUACCUUCCUUAAGGUACCUACUCAGGGCGGAGACGUCAUUGUCAAAUUCAGUGUUAAACCACAAACAUGGCAGAUUCUUGCAAAGCUCUUGGCCUGAUUCUAGGACCCGUGCCGGUCAGCCCAGGCCCCACCACAGCAAGACCCACAUCCCACUCAGUGCUCACCCAGCACUGUGUCCAUGUGGCGAUGGACAUUACUCAUGUUCCCCACCCCCUUCUGGGGGUGAUGUUGGCGGGAGAUGUGCCCGGUGCAAAGGUCUAAUGUUGUGUCCCUUGCUCUGAAGUAAGUCCCCACUGUGGGGGCUGGGAAGGAACCUGAGUUUCUUGUGGUUCCUUUGAGAUUCCUUGUUUAAAGCUGUAAGUUCCAGGCGCCCCUCCUGUAGUUUUGCUAAUAAGACCUCUUCUGCUCCCCCCUGUCUUCGCCCUCUGGUGGGGGCGAGGAGGAGGAGUAAAGGGUCCUGUCUCCCCCUCCUCCAGCCCCACUCCAGGGUGGGGGUCUCACCUAGCUGGCACUGGUCCUUCCACACAGAGUCACAUCCAGAGCCCCUCACACUGGGUGUCUGAGCCUUCCCGGGGGUUGGGUGAGGACGACUAUUUUGGAACCUUAAACAGGCUGCCAAGUAAGAGGCACGUGCCCGUGGAACAGGUGGGGAGAAACUUCACAGCCACCUCCCUGUGUCCUCCCACCUCGACCACCUCGAAGCAAACGGAAGAGCUGGUGUUUCUGGCCCCUUCUGUGGAGGAUGGAGGAGGAGACUUGCUGUAGAUGGACUCCUCCUCCAGGAGAAGGGAGGGCCCUUGGGGGCGGCUGGCCGCUGUCCCUCACCGGCGGGUUCUGUUUCUUCUGCCACGGAGACUGCAGGGCCAGCGCCCCCAACUCCCUCCUCCAAACCCUGUGAAACUAGAAGCUACUUGAUCCUCACCCGCCCAACUGGAUGGGGGACGUUCAGUUGUGCCCUCCUGUGUCAUCUCAUUACACACCCCCCUUCACACAGCCCUACGAAGUUCAAGGUGGUGAGAGGGCAGGGCAAGGUCUGGUUUAUCGGUGCCUUUGGGUGGAGUUAUACUUCUCGAGAAGAGAAGCUUCUGGAUGUUUUAUGGUAUUUCCUAGUGUUCUUCUGUAAAUGUAUUGAGAAAAAAAUGAACAGUUUAAGGAACGGGACCUCUGAGCAGGUACAACGAAAAAGCCUAGAAAUGAUAGGUGUGGGAGCCCCCUGUCAGCCUCAGGAAGACUGGAGGGGACCCUUCCAGGCCCUGAGCCCCACGUCCUGGGAUCCCCUGAA
Molecule: long non-coding RNA, 1758 nt
Organism: Myotis brandtii (Brandt's bat)
Lineage: Eukaryota; Metazoa; Chordata; Mammalia; Chiroptera; Vespertilionidae
Exons: 2
Source: RefSeq, a predicted model, not a curated record